CUUCUGGGAAAGAUUCAUCGGUAUGGGAUGGGGUCGCGUCCUAUCAUCCUUGAUGGCGGGGUAACGGCCCACCAUGGNUUCGACGGGUAGCCGGCCUGAGAGGGCGACCGGCCACAUUGGGACUGAGAUACGGCCCAGACUCCUACGGGAGGCAGCAGUGGGGAAUAUUGCACAAUGGGCGCAAGCCUGAUGCANCGACGCCGCGUGCGGGAUGACGCCCUUCGNGUUGUAAACCGCUUUUGACUGGGAGCAAGCCCUUCGGGGUGAGUGUACCUUUCGAAUAAGCACCGGCUAACUACAUGCCAGCAGCCGCGGUAAUACGUAGGGUGCAAGCGUUAUCCGGAAUUAUUGGGCGUAAAGGGCUCGUAGGCGGUUCGUCGCGUCCGGUGUGAAAGUCCAUCGCUUAACGGUGGAUCCGCGCCGGGUACGGGCGGGCUUGAGUGCGGUAGGGGAGACUGGAAUUCCCGGUGUAACGGUGGAAUGUGUAGAUAUCGGGAAGAACACCAAUGGCGAAGGCAGGUCUCUGGGCCGUCACUGACGCUGAGGAGCGAAAGCGUGGGGAGCGAACAGGAUUAGAUACCCUGGUAGUNCACGCCGUAAACGGUGGAUGCUGGAUGUGGGGACCAUUCCACGGUCUCCGUGUCGGAGCCAACGCGUUAAGCAUCCCGCCUGGGGAGUACGGCCGCAAGGCUAAAACUCAAAGAAAUUGACGGGGGCCCGCACAAGCGGCGGAGCAUGCGGAUUAAUUCGAUGCAACGCGAAGAACCUUNCCUGGGCUUGACAUGUUC
Molecule: ribosomal RNA, 788 nt
Filed under: Bifidobacterium sp. HMSH5
Lineage: Bacteria; Bacillati; Actinomycetota; Actinomycetes; Bifidobacteriales; Bifidobacteriaceae
Description: bacterial SSU rRNA
Rfam family: Bacterial small subunit ribosomal RNA
Source: RNAcentral